UCAAUAAGCGGAGGAAAAGAAACUAACAAGGAUUCCCUUAGUAACGGCGAGUGAAAAGGGAAAAGCUCAAAUUUUGAAUCUGGCGGUCUAUGGCCGUCCGAGUUGUAAUCUAGAGAAGUGUUUUCCGCGCUGGACCGUGUACAAGUCCUUUGGAAUAAGGCGUCAUAGAGGGUGAGAAUCCCGUCUACGACACGGACGACCAGUGCUUUGUGAUACACUCUCAACGAGUCGAGUUGUUUGGGAUUGCAGCUCAAAAUGGGUGUUAAAUUCCAUCUAAAGCUAAAUAUGGGCGAAAGACCGAUAGCGAACAAGUACCGUGAGGGAAAGAUGAAAAGCACUUUGGAAAGAGAAUUAAACAGUACGUGAAAUUGUUGAAAGGGAAACGCUUGAAGUCAGUCGCGUCUUCAGAAAUUCAGCCUGGCUUCUGCCUGGUGUACUUUUCUGUGAGGACGGGCCAGCAUCAGUUUUGGCCGCCAGAAAAAGGUGAGAGGAAGGUGGCACCCCUCUGGGGGUGUGUUAUAGCCUCUGAUCGUAUGUGGCGGCUGGGACUGAGGACCGCAGCACGCCUUUAAUGGCCGGGGUUCGCCCACGUAACGUGCUUAGGAUGCUGGCGUAAUGGCUUUAA
RNAcentral lists this ribosomal RNA (625 nucleotides) under Geastrum sp. T26588. RNAcentral's name for it is "eukaryotic LSU rRNA". It matches the Rfam family "Eukaryotic large subunit ribosomal RNA", at positions 43 to 643 of the family's 3401-position model. The record is from RNAcentral. Lineage: Eukaryota; Fungi; Basidiomycota; Agaricomycetes; Geastrales; Geastraceae.